CCUACGGGUGACAGCAGUAGGGAAUUUUCGGCAAUGGGGGGAACCCUGACCGAGCAACGCCGCGUGAACGAAGAAGUUAUUCGUAAUGUAAAGUUCUUUUAACAGGGAAGAAAGAGAAAUUUGACGGUACCUGAAGAAUAAGCUCCGGCUAACUACGUGCCAGCAGCCGCGGUAAUACGGGGGAUGCAAGCGUUAUCCGGAUUUAUUGGGUUUAAAGGGUGCGUAGGCUGUGAGGUAAGUCAGCGGUGAAAUGCCCCCGCUCAACGGGGUGAAGUGCCAUUGAUACUGCCUUGCUGGAAUGCGGAUGCCGUGGGAGGAAUGUGUGGUGUAGCGGUGAAAUGCAUAGAUAUCACACAGAACACCGAUUGCGAAGGCAUCUCACGAAUCCGCGAUUGACGCUGAUGCACGAAAGCGUGGGUAUCAAACAGGAUUAGAUACCCCAGUAGUC
Molecule: ribosomal RNA, 448 nt
Filed under: uncultured bacterium
Lineage: Bacteria
Description: partial 16S ribosomal RNA
Rfam family: Bacterial small subunit ribosomal RNA
Source: RNAcentral